Molecule: ribosomal RNA, 429 nt
Filed under: Gemmatimonadota bacterium
Lineage: Bacteria; Pseudomonadati; Gemmatimonadota
Description: Gemmatimonadetes bacterium partial 16S ribosomal RNA
Rfam family: Bacterial small subunit ribosomal RNA
Source: RNAcentral
UAGGGAAUCUUCGGCAAUGGACGAAAGUCUGACCGAGCAACGCCGCGUGAGUGAAGAAGGUUUUCGGAUCGUAAAACUCUGUUGUUAGAGAAGAACAAGGACGUUAGUAACUGAACGUCCCCUGACGGUAUCUAACCAUAAAGCCACGGCUAACUACGUGCCAGCAGCCGCGGUAAUACGUAGGUGGCAAGCGUGGUCCGGUUUUAUUGGGCGUAAAGCGAGCGCAGGCGGUUACUUAAGUCUGAUGUGAAAGCCCCCGGCUCAACCGGGGAGGGUCAUUGGAAACUGGGAGACUUGAGUGCAGAAGAGGAGAGUGGAAUUCCAUGUGUAGCGGUGAAAUGCGUAGAUAUAUGGAGGAACACCAGUGGCGAAGGCGGCUCUCUGGUCUGUAACUGACGCUGAGGCUCGAAAGCGUGGGGAGCAAACAGG